GUCUAUUUGAGGUAUAUGUAUAGUCUAGCCUGCUCACUGACAAAAAUGUUAAAUAGCCGCGGUAUUUUGACCGUGCAAAGGUAGCAUAAUCAUUAGUUUUUUAAUUGAAAACUUGUAUGAAUGGUUGGACAAAGAAAAAGCUGUCUCUUUUAUUUGAAUUGAAAUUAACUUCUAAGUGAAAAGGCUUAGAUUUUUUAGAGGGACGAUAAGACCCUAUAAAGCUUUAUAAGUUAAGUAAGUUAAAUUAAUUUUUUAAAAUAAAAAUAAGCUUAAAAAAUUUAUUUGGUUGGGGCGACAAUGGUAUAAAUUAAAUAACUGCUAUUAAAAUUAAGCAAUUAUAUUUGAUUAGAAUUAUAAUUGAUCCUUAUUAUGGAUUAAAAGAUCAAGUUACUUUAGGGAUAACAGCGUAAUUUCUUUUGAGAGUUCUUAUCAAAGAAGAAGUUUGCGACCUCGAUGUUGAAUUAAAAUGUCUUUAUAGUGCAGAAGCUAUAAAAGAAGGUCUGUUCGACCUUUAAUUUUUUA
RNAcentral lists this ribosomal RNA (522 nucleotides) under Scylla paramamosain (green mud crab). RNAcentral describes it as "partial 16S ribosomal RNA". It matches the Rfam family "Bacterial large subunit ribosomal RNA", at positions 1832 to 2598 of the family's 2925-position model. Lineage: Eukaryota; Metazoa; Arthropoda; Malacostraca; Decapoda; Portunidae. The record is from RNAcentral.